Non-coding RNA from Lutzomyia longipalpis, 114 nucleotides. The record is from Rfam. Lineage: Eukaryota; Metazoa; Arthropoda; Insecta; Diptera; Psychodidae.
CUUGGGUACGGUGAUAUGGUACCUGAGACAAUUGCGGGGAAGAUUGUUGGUGGUGUGUGCUCCCUCAGUGGUGUGUUGGUCAUUGCACUGCCUGUGCCCGUUAUUGUCAGCAAC